UAAAUGAGAUCUAUGGCCGUCACUUCCAGCAUUCUGGAAUGUUACCUAGCCUGAAUGCAUAAACAUCAUAAUCAAAGAGAACACAAGUCAGUGCAAAGCACUCAGCUUGGCACUGUGAUGGUCCAAUCUCUCUGGCACAGUGAUUCGUUUGACAUCAUGCCAUGUACCAUGAACAUUGACUAGCAGGUCAAAAGUAAAAUCCUCUCAGGUAAUAUCAUCAUCUUAGUAACCUAGACCUACUGUUCAGUUCCAAGGCUGACAGUGACAGUAGUAACUGCUUCUGCAAUUUUACAGACUCUCCGAAAUGAAGUGCAAACCAAGUAUGUGCCAUUAGCAUGUAAUCAGUACUCCUCGCAGCAGGCUUUCAUCCUGGGACAUGUGCCCAGGAAAACUUCUUUAUUUCUGGGAAGAGAAGUAGAGCACUGAAUAAACCAAGAAGUCUAACUGGAUGAUUGGUUUGUGGCAAUUUUUAGUGAGAAGAGGUUAAAAAAAAAAAAAAUCUGUCUCUUAAGAUCUAGUCGACUUCAGGCUAAUGUCAUUGAAAAGAAACAUUAACAGUCAAAAAACAUUGCUUAAGUGCAGUGAACUGAGCUAUGGAUAAGAAAAUAGCCGUCACUUCCAGCAUUCUGGAAUGUUACCUAGCCUGAAUGCAUAAACAUCAUAAUCAAAGAGAACACAAGUCAGUGCAAAGCACUCAGCUUGGCACUGUGAUGGUCCAAUCUCUCUGGCACAGUGAUUCGUUUGACAUCAUGCCAUGUACCAUGAACAUUGACUAGCAGGUCAAAAGUAAAAUCCUCUCAGGUAAUAUCAUCAUCUUAGUAACCUAGACCUACUGUUCAGUUCCAAGGCUGACAGUGACAGUAGUAACUGCUUCUGCAAUUUUACAGACUCUCCGAAAUGAAGUGCAAACCAAGUAUGUGCCAUUAGCAUGUAAUCAGUACUCCUCGCAGCAGGCUUUCAUCCUGGGACAUGUGCCCAGGAAAACUUCUUUAUUUCUGGGAAGAGAAGUAGAGCACUGAAUAAACCAAGAAGUCUAACUGGAUGAUUGGUUUGUGGCAAUUUUUAGUGAGAAGAGGUUAAAAAAAAAAAAUCUGUCUCUUAAGAUCUAGUCGACUUCAGGCUAAUGUCAUUGAAAAGAAACAUUAACAGUCAAAAAACAUUGCUUAAGUGCAGUGAACUGAGCUAUGGAUAAGAAAAUAGCCGUCACUUCCAGCAUUCUGGAAUGUUACCUAGCCUGAAUGCAUAAACAUCAUAAUCAAAGAGAACACAAGUCAGUGCAAAGCACUCAGCUUGGCACUGUGAUGGUCCAAUCUCUCUGGCACAGUGAUUCGUUUGACAUCAUGCCAUGUACCAUGAACAUUGACUAGCAGGUCAAAAGUAAAAUCCUCUCAGGUAAUAUCAUCAUCUUAUUAACCUAGACCUACUGUUCAGUUCCAAGGCUGACAGUGACAGUAGUAACUGCUUCUGCAAUUUUACAGACUCUCCGAAAUGAAGUGCAAACCAAGUAUGUGCCAUUAGCAUGUAAUCAGUACUCCUCGCAGCAGGCUUUCAUCCUGGGACAUGUGCCCAGGAAAACUUCUUUAUUUCUGGGAAGAGAAGUAGAGCACUGAAUAAACCAAGAAGUCUAACUGGAUGAUUGGUUUGUGGCAAUUUUUAGUGAGAAGAGGUUAAAAAAAAAAAAAUCUGUCUCUUAAGAUCUAGUCGACUUCAGGCUAAUGUCAUUGAAAAGAAACAUUAACAGUCAAAAAACAUUGCUUAAGUGCAGUGAACUGAGCUAUGGAUAAGAAAAUAGAAGGUUCAUUCUUAUCCAAGCUCCACCAUUCAUUCGUUUAAAUCUGAAAUAUUUCUUCAGCACCUACCGUAUGCUGGGCAGUCUGUGCCUCUUAGAAAGUUUCUCUAUAGGAAAAUCAAUUAUUCUAUAAGCAAAUAAUUACUGUCUAUUUUGCACUAAGCUCUACAUUAAGCAAAGGAUUACAAUGGCAAACGACAACUGGUACAGUCCACACCUGCCUAGAAUUUGGUGUGCUUGUCUUUCUGAGUUUUACUUCCCUAAGGUCAGAAAACCAACGUGAGAAUUCUAUCUGCUAGGAGAGUUCGUCUAUAUUAUGCAUUCAAGAAAGAAGCUAGAUUACUAUUCAUUGUAAAGACCUCGUUUCCCUGUGUGCCAGCAGUGUGCAGAAUAUAAAUGUUUGGUACCUAUCACACAACAGGAAAGCCUGAAACAAAGUCAUAAACACUUGGAAUGACCCACUGGAAAAAGACUGCUGCUCCUGUUGACCAAAAGAUUUCCUCUACAUGAUGAUGUUCCAGAGAAAAGAUGUCACUGUCCCGAUAAGGACCCGUUCGAGUGCUUCUGAUCACUGACAGCUAUCAAAGUAAAAGAAAAACUCAGCUAAUUGGUGUUUCCCAUGGGAACAGGAUCCUUAGGAGGACUGGACUGCACAUCCCACCAAGGACUUGAAAUUUUUUAAACUGUUGAUACUGAACUCAACUGAAAGAAGGAUUUACCCCAAAGAUACAGAUGCAAUGAAACGCCAGGACACCUGCACCCCGAUGUUUCUAGC
Molecule: long non-coding RNA, 2564 nt
Organism: Canis lupus familiaris (dog)
Lineage: Eukaryota; Metazoa; Chordata; Mammalia; Carnivora; Canidae
Exons: 5
Source: RefSeq, a predicted model, not a curated record